RNAcentral lists this long non-coding RNA (937 nucleotides) under Nicotiana benthamiana. RNAcentral's name for it is "long non-coding RNA (NBEN_LNC029377)". Lineage: Eukaryota; Viridiplantae; Streptophyta; Magnoliopsida; Solanales; Solanaceae. The record is from RNAcentral.
UACUAACUCUGUGUUUGCUAUUGCAUGAUCUUUUCUCUUUGUUGUGAGUUCAGCCUCACAAUCCUAAUGUUUAUGCACUCUUUUAUAUGCUAAAUUUCCCUCUAAAAUGGCCUUCAAUUUUGGACUGGUUUCAAGCCUCCUUGAGUAAUUUUGAUUGCAUUCACGUGCUAAGUGAUUGACUCUUUCCUUGUUUCACCUUACUGAUUUCCCUAUUUCUUGGGUUGAUUUGGAAAACAUUCCUUAGACCUUCAAUUCCACUAUUUGUGACUUGGUUUGUUUGUUUAUUUAUGAAUCAGUAAUUUCGAAUCCCUGACUCCUUUAUUUAAUAUGUACUGAUUAUCUUUAUAUUCUGCAACUUUACUUUGUUUUCUUACCUUAUUUGGUUAACCGAGUAUUUCAAAGAUUCUUCCCUUAAUUAAACCCCUAUGUAUUUAACCCUAAUUGUCUACUUUGCACAAGAUGUUUACUUGAUCUCUUUCCUUAAAUGUUCUAUGUCCAUUACCGUUUUAGUUUUAACCCCUUAAUUAAAGGAAGUCUUGUACUGAUUUAAUUUUAAUUGGUACAUAGUUCCAUAUUUGCUACUAAAUUAUGAUUCUUGCCUUAUUUUCUACCUAUUUUCAAAUUAUAAUUACCAUUCUCUUUCAUUAACACAAAGACACAUGAAGACUCUCCGUUUUUUAACUCAAACUCACACUCACACUCAAAAAGCAUUCUCUCUUGUUAUUGUGGCCUGCUUUCAAGUCUUGCUACUUGCUUUUACUGUAUCUUGCCCUUUGAAACUGGUAUUUUCUUAUUUAGAUUCCAGCAUCACAACAAAGUAUCUAUUUAAUGCUUUUCCCCAUUUGUCUGCCUACUGUCGGUGUUUAGUUCGGUAUUUACUUUAGCAUGCUAUUAUUUCCUUCUGCUUGUUCUGUAUUUACUAUGCAUCCUAAACCCC